UACGGGGGGAGCAAGCGUUGUUCGGAUUUACUGGGCGUAAAGGGCGCGUAGGCGGCCACCGCAAGUCAGUUGUGAAAUCUCUGGGCUUAACCCAGAAAGGUCAACCGAUACUGCGGGGCUAGAGUGCAGAAGGGGCAACUGGAAUUCUCGGUGUAGCGGUGAAAUGCGUAGAUAUCGAGAGGAACACCUGCGGCGAAGGCGGGUUGCUGGGCUGACACUGACGCUGAUGCGCGAAAGCUAGGGGAGCGAACGGG
RNAcentral lists this ribosomal RNA (254 nucleotides) under uncultured bacterium. RNAcentral's name for it is "partial 16S ribosomal RNA". It matches the Rfam family "Bacterial small subunit ribosomal RNA", at positions 524 to 776 of the family's 1533-position model. The record is from RNAcentral.